RNAcentral lists this ribosomal RNA (253 nucleotides) under uncultured bacterium. Its description in RNAcentral is "partial 16S ribosomal RNA". It matches the Rfam family "Bacterial small subunit ribosomal RNA", at positions 524 to 776 of the family's 1533-position model. The record is from RNAcentral.
UACGAAGGGAGCUAGCAUUGUUCGGAAUCACUGGGCGUAAAGCGCACGUAGGCGGAUGUGUCAGUCAGGGGUGAAAUCCCGGAGCUCAACUUCGGAACUGCCUUUGAUACAGCACGUCUUGAGUCCGGAAGAGGUGGGUGGAAUUCCUAGUGUAGAGGUGAAAUUCGUAGAUAUUCGGAAGAACACCAGUGGCGAAGGCGGCUCACUGGACCGGUAUUGACGCUGAGGUGUGAAAGCGUGGGGAGCAAACAGG